GAUGAACGCUGGCGGCGUGCCUAAUACAUGCAAGUCGAACGAGAACGACCGGUGCUUGCACUGGUCAAGUUAGUGGCGGACGGGUGAGUAACACGUGGGUAACCUGCCCAUCAGAGGGGGAUAACAUCCGGAAACGGGAGCUAAAACCGCAUAGGUCUUCGAACCGCAUGGUUUUAAGAGGAAAAAAGGCUUUAGCUUCUGCUGAUGGCUGAACCGCCGGUGCGUUAGCUAGUGGGUCAGGAAACGGCUCACCAAGGCCGGGAUGCAUAGCCGACCUGAGAGAGUGAUCGGCCACAUUGGAACGGAGACACGGCCCAAACUCCUACGGGAGGCAGCAGUAGGGAAUCUUCCGCAAUGGUCGCAAGUCUGACGGAGCAACGCCGCGUGAGUGAAGAAGGUGUUCGGAUCGUAAAACUCUGUUGUUAGUGAAGAACAAGUGCUAGAGUAACUGUUAGCGCCUUGACGGUACCUAAACAGAAAGCCACGGCUAACUACGUG
This 498-nucleotide ribosomal RNA is filed under the name uncultured bacterium. RNAcentral describes it as "partial 16S ribosomal RNA". It matches the Rfam family "Bacterial small subunit ribosomal RNA", at positions 28 to 507 of the family's 1533-position model. The record is from RNAcentral.